Molecule: ribosomal RNA, 340 nt
Filed under: uncultured bacterium
Lineage: Bacteria
Description: bacterial SSU rRNA
Rfam family: Bacterial small subunit ribosomal RNA
Source: RNAcentral
AUUGAACGCUGGCGGCAUGCUUUACACAUGCAAGUCGAGCGGCAGCGCGGGACUCAGGCAACUGAGCCCUGGCGGCGAGCGGCGAACGGGUGAGGAAUACAUCGGAACGUGUCCCGUAGUGGGGGAUAGCUCGGCGAAAGCCGGAUUAAUACCGCAUAUGGCUCUACGGAGGAAAGCCGGGGAUCUGUUAAAGGACCUGGCGCUAUGGGAGCGGCCGAUGUCCGAUUAGCUAGUUGGUGAGGUAAAGGCUCACCAAGGCGACGAUCGGUAGCUGGUCUGAGAGGAUGAUCAGCCACACUGGGACUGAGACACGGCCCAGACUCCUACGGGAGGCAGCAGU